GACCAACAGCUAGCUUAUCCGCCUAAAAUAGACCAACAAAAUAAAUAACCCAUCAAAAACCAAAAAUAAUAAACAAAUCAUUUUUCCGCCCUAGUACGGGAGACAGAAAAGGAAUCACAAAGCAAUAGAAAGAGUACCGCAAGGGAAAGCUGAAAAAGAACUGAAACAACACAUUCAAGCCUAAAAAAGCAGAGAUCAACCCUCGUACCUUUUGCAUCAUGAUUUAGCCAGCACAUCCGAGCAAAGAGAGCUUUAGUUCAAGACCCCGAAACCGAGUGAGCUACUCCGAGUCAGCCUAUUACGGGCCAACCCGUCUCUGUGGCAAAAGAGUGGGAAGAACUCCGAGUAGAGGUGACAAACCUACCGAACCCGGUUAUAGCUGGUUGCCUAGGAAAUGGAUAAGAGUUCAGCCCCCCAACCCUCAAAUCACAACAGUAAUGCAAGAUUACGAGAAAAAGGAGGGAGUUAGUCAGAGGAGGUACAGCUCCUCUGAACCAGGACACAACCUUAUCAGGAGGUCAAGGAUCAAACUCAACAAGGCCAACCGUUUCAGUGGGCCUAAAAGCAGCCACCUACACAGAAAGCGUUAAAGCUCGGACGGACCAAAGACCCCUUAUUCUGAUAACCCCCCCCCCCACCCCCUAAUUAUACUAGGCCGCCCUAUGUCACCCCGCCAUAGGAGAGAUAAUGCUAAAAUGAGUAAUAAGAAGGACGCCCUUCUCCCCGCACACGUGUAAGUUAGUACGGACCCGCCACUAACAAAUAGCGAACCCAACCCAAGAGAGCACUGCGGAGCUAAUCUACGAACAGGAAAACCCCGCACACACACAUCGUUAUUCCCACACAGGAGUGCUUGCAAGAGGAAAGACCCUAAGGAAAAGAAGGAACUCGGCAAACACAAGCCUCGCCUGUUUACCAAAAACACCGCCUCCUGCAAUAUCAAACAUAGGAGGUCCCGCCUGCCCAGUGACUUUAAGUUUAACGGCCGCGGUAUUUUAACCGUGCAAAGGUAGCGCAAUCACUUGUCUUUUAAAUGGGGACCUGUAUGAACGGCAUCACGAGGGCUUAGCUGUCUCCUUUUCCAAGUCAAUGAAAUUGAUCUACCCGUGCAGAAGCGGGUAUACCCCCACAAGACGAGAAGACCCUGUGGAGCUUAAGACACAAGGUCAACCGCGUCAAACAACCAAGCCUUAAAAGUAAAAACAAAGUGUGAGCCUGGCCAACAUGUCUUCGGUUGGGGCGACCCCGGGGGAAAAACAAGCCCCCCUGUGGACCGGGAAUUCCCUAAAGCCAAGAGGCACACCUCCAAGCCUCAGAACAUCUGACCAUGAACGAUCCGGCCUAGCCGAUCAACGAACCAAGUUACCCCAGGGAUAACAGCGCAAUCCUCUCCCAGAGUCCAUAUCGACGAGGGGGUUUACGACCUCGAUGUUGGAUCAGGGCAUCCUAAUGGUGCAGCCGCUAUUAAGGGUUCGUUUGUUCAACGAUUAAAGUCCUACGUGAUCUGAGUUCAGACCGGAGCAAUCCAGGUCGGUUUCUAUCUGUAAUGCUACUUUUCCUAGUACGAAAGGACCGGAAAGGAAGGGCCCCUACCCCCGAUACGCCCUACCCCAACCUGAUGAAACCAACUAAACCAGACAAAGGAGCGCAGCCCUGCAACCCUAGACAAGGGCAUGCUGGUGUGGCAGGGCCUGGUAAAUGCGGGAGCUUAGGGCCUCCCCACGGAGGUUCGAAUCCUCCCACCAA
Molecule: ribosomal RNA, 1746 nt
Filed under: Normichthys operosus (multipore searsid)
Lineage: Eukaryota; Metazoa; Chordata; Actinopteri; Alepocephaliformes; Platytroctidae
Description: 16S rRNA
Rfam family: Bacterial large subunit ribosomal RNA
Source: RNAcentral